Molecule: ribosomal RNA, 253 nt
Filed under: uncultured bacterium
Lineage: Bacteria
Description: partial 16S ribosomal RNA
Rfam family: Bacterial small subunit ribosomal RNA
Source: RNAcentral
UACGUAGGGUGCAAGCGUUAAUCGGAAUUACUGGGCGUAAAGCGUGCGCAGGCGGUUUUGUAAGACAGAGGUGAAAUCCCCGGGCUUAACCUGGGAACUGCCUUUGUGACUGCAAGGCUUGAGUGCGGCAGAGGGGGAUGGAAUUCCGCGUGUAGCAGUGAAAUGCAUAGAUAUGCGGAGGAACACCGAUGGCGAAGGCAAUCCCCUGGGCCUGCACUGACGCUGAGGCGCGAAAGCGUGGGUAGCAAACGGG